Molecule: long non-coding RNA, 1721 nt
Organism: Daphnia pulicaria
Lineage: Eukaryota; Metazoa; Arthropoda; Branchiopoda; Diplostraca; Daphniidae
Exons: 3
Source: RefSeq, a predicted model, not a curated record
GCAAUUACGUGGUUGGGGUGGUUUAAUGGUGCAAUUAUUUUGUUGAAGAUAAUUUUGGUUUGACUGGGGUUUGAUGCUGCUUGUGAUUUAUUUAAGGGGAACAAUUUGAUUUCGAUUUUAAACAAUUUCCAAGGGGGAAUAGGGGCAGUUGCAGGAGAGUUAGAGUGAGGGAGUGUGAAUACGUUGGGUUUGAAUUUUUCUACUAACUUGAGAGUGGGGAUGCAAGCAGGUAUGCUCCGAAUUUGCCAUGUGCCACUGAAAUUUUUCAUACAUUUGAUUGCUUUGAAUGCGGGGUUGUAGGGUUUGUUACUAAGUUUGAGGAAAUAGUUUGCUGCCAGCAUCUGCCAUCUUAUUUUGACCGGGGGAAUGUCUGAUUCGAUAUGGAGGAGGGCUUUAGGAGUCGAUUUGAGGCAGCCUAAAAUGAUGCGAAGAAGUUGGUUUUGGGUUUUUUCUAAGGUGUCAAUUCUGGAGUUUGGGAUGUUGAUGAGAGCAGAGGCUCCGUAGUCCAGUUUGCUGCGGAUUAGGGCUUUGUAGAUUCGUAGAAGGAGGGGCGUAGAUAAGAUGGUUUUCUUCGAUGUUAGUGCUUUUAGUAUGUUGCCGCGCCUUUGGAUACACGUGUUUACUUCGUUUACAUGCUGCUCCCAGGAAAGUUUAGAGUCGAAAAUCAGGCCUAGAAACUUGUACUGUUUAACUUCUUUGAUUUGGCUGCCCAUCAGCUUCAGUUUGAGAGUUGGUUGGGGAGAUCUUCGUCUGGAGAAGGUGAGGCUCGCACAUUUGCCUAUUGAAAAGACAAGUUUCCAUUCUCUCGCCCAGUCUUCGAUUUCGUAGAGGAACGGUUGCAGUAUACUUUCGGCUUCUGGUUUUGUUUUUGUGAUGGUGUGGAUCUCGAUGUCGUCCGCGAACAGUUCGGCUUGGCAGCUAGCGGGUGGUUGGGGGAAGUCGGACAUCAUAACAUUGAAAAGAAGAGGGCUUAAGACGCAUCCUUGUGGUACGCCUUUUAGGGUUGUUCUUUCUUCCGAAAAGGUGUUGCCUAUUUUGACUUGGAGUUUUCUGCCGUUGAGAAAGUGGUGCAGCCAUCGUAGCAUAGUGCCUGCGACGUGCAUCUUAGUUAAUUUGUAGGUUAUGCCAGUUAUCCAGGUACUAGGGUAUGCGUUCGCCAGGUCGAGGAAUACUGCUGUGCAGAUCUUCUGAUGGUUGAAUGCUGACUUGAUUGACGACUCCAGUUUGAUGAUAUUAUCCAUCGUUGAACAGUUCUUCCUAAAUCCAGUUUGGCACUUGGGAUGUGAGAGAGAUCGGCCUAUACGAAUCCGUUCUACUAGGGUCUUUUCCACUCUUGAGCAGAGGUACAACAGACGCUCUUUUCCAGACGUGGGGGACGUAGCCGGUGAAGAAUAGGAUGUUGAUGAGGUGAACAGUUUGAUAUUUCGACCGAGGAGAAGAAGUUGUUGAGAGGGUGGGGGGAGUCAUCUUGUAGGUGUCUAUUAAUCGCAGCGCUGUACAUUGGCUCUUCGGCUAACGGGUCUUCCAAGGGACAAAAUUCAUCGAGGAGCAGUUUGGCCUUGUCUUCGUGGGAGCAUGCUGUAAUUCCAUUUUGAGUGAGUGGAAAUUUGUUUAAAGGUGACUCUUGAUGACCUCUUAACAUGUUUUUAGUGAAGUUCCAGAAAACAGUUGUGUUUUUGGGUACGCCAAGAUUGUCAAUAAAGUUGGACCAGGAGUCAUUU